Long non-coding RNA from Betta splendens (Siamese fighting fish), 2338 nucleotides. RefSeq lists it as uncharacterized. The record is from RefSeq and is a predicted model, not a curated record. Lineage: Eukaryota; Metazoa; Chordata; Actinopteri; Anabantiformes; Osphronemidae. The transcript has 2 exons.
UCUGUCUUGACUCUGUGGAGGCAUCAGCCGUCCUGUACGUGUGUUCUGAUGGAGCAGUAGCAUCACAGUGAUGACAGGAAGAGACUGGACCGGGUCAUCAACAAGUCCAGCUCUGUCCUGGACUGCACUCUGGACACGGUGCAGGAGGUGGUGAGAGAAGGGUCCUGGCUGAACCCACAUCCAUCCUGGACCAGGACUCUGAUCCACUGGAGGACUCACUGUCUGCUCUGGAGCAGCUUCAGUAGCAGACUGAAGUCCUCGCUGGAGGAGAGGUUCUGUAGAUCUUUCCUCCCUGCUGCAUCAGACUCUAUAAUAUGUGCAUUAUAAUGUGCAAUAUUCUCCAUCCACCUCUAUAUCUGCAUCUCUGUUUCGCUAUACGUGUGUGUGUAUGUGCUUUUCUCCUAUGUUCAUUCCUGAAGCUGUGAUGACGUAAGAUGCAUUUUCCCCUCUGUGGGACUAAUGAAGGCAUUCUCAUUCUUUCUUCUUCACCUGUGUGGGGCUGAGCAGUCUUCAUGCAUUAUGCUUGACCUGGUUGUGCAUCACCCACUUCAACCUGACGAACCUCAGUGGAAACACGUUUGUUUGCUGUUCUCUGCAGCGUGGCCACCGGCAGGAAGACUGCAGCAAUGAGCACGAGGCUGCGGCAGCAUGAAGCUCUGAGAACAUGAAUGCAGUACAUGAAGAAAGCCCAAUGACAGAAUGGUCUAAGGUCCGGACGGCGUCCCACAGGUGCAGGACACUGAGACCAGAGCUGGCAGCCGCUCUGCGUCAUGAUGAAAACGCUGGGUUACAGCAAUGACUGUUGGUGCGUGGGUGGUGGAGCAGGUUAGGAGUUUAUCAGAACAGGCAUGGGUCCUGACAUUUGGCUCACGCCUCUGUAAUGCUGUACCAGUACCUGUGGGCUCACGAUAAAUGUAGCUUCAUGUGUUUGGACCAUGUGAAGGUUUGGAUUCAUAAGUGAAAAGGUUCAAUGUCAGACUCUCAAACUGGUUUAUGGAUGUGGAAGAUCAAAUCGUAUAUGGAUCUGAUUGAAGUAUAUCACCUUUAAACUGUGGAGUCAGGAGCUCAGAGGUCAGGGUGGGAAGUGUGUCAUCAUAGUUUAAGUCCGCUGGGAUCAGAUGGAGGCAGCAGACGUCCACACAUCUGCUCCUUUACCUACUAGAUGGAUUGGGUGAAAGGGGCUGUAAAUGCUGACUGACACUGCUGGCAGCAGCCUCCAGCGCCCUGUAGGUGGCGCACUGCAGGCUUUGUGUCUGGGCUUUAGGUGUGACAGCAGCGCCAUCGUGUGACUUUUAUCCCAAACAGACUCUGGUUCCCUGUGUUCAUCAGAGCAGAAGUGUAUGGACAGUUAACCCUACUCAACCCUUAUGAUGGAACACAUUCAAGCACUGCUCUUUGAACAAGGCUGUGACUGGACCCACAAAGCUACGUCGAUACCAGUGAUGUCAGAUGAUACGGAUUCUCACAUACAUGUACGUAACGAUGGGGAAGGACCUUUUCUUUUGGGAUGCCAUUGGUUGGAUAUUAAUAAUCAUGAACUUCAGUUUGGCAUCGGGUGUAUGCUUAUUACAUCUCUCUGUAUUUGAGAUGGUUACAAAAGGACAAUAAUGUCCUUUUAAAUAAAAAAAAUAUACAAAAGAAAAUUAAAGACAGACACAGAAUUGGUCCAUUCAACAGGAGCAUCAUCAGGUGUCGUUCCCAGCACAGGAUGAUAAAACCAUUAUAAACCAUAAUAAUAAGGGCGAAGCAGCUCUAGUGUCACCGUAAGCGAGUACGAAACAUCAGUUUGGGGAAAGUGAACUAUUUAAUUUACUUUGAAUGAAAAUGCUAAUUAUUUGUAGUUAUUUGUGUAAAAUUCAUUUCCUUUUCUUAAUGUGUACGUCUCGUCCCAUCAGACAUUACAGUUUUUAUUAGUCGCUUUGACCUGUUUUGCAUAACUAGGUUCCACUUAUUUUCAUCUUCACCAUUCCAGCAGAGCAUAAGACACAUGAAGCAUAUUGUUCGCCCCUCCGGCCUGCUGGGGGCGCUUUAGGUUUCAGUCCUGUGUGCUUGAUGUCUCCUCUUAGUUGUUUCCUGUCUUGUAAUUGGUGUCAUUAUUUCCACCUGCAUAUUUAGUACUUCAGUUCCUGGUUUGAGUUCAGUCUUGUUGGUUCGUUGAGGACGUUACCUCUGUUUGGUGUUGCCAUCUUGUGCCCGUCCUGUCUCCAGUCAAGGUUUGUCUGGUCCCUGUGUUGUCCUCGUGUUUGUUGCAUGUUUUUAGUUUUGAGUUAUUAGUUUGUUUCUCCUUUGAGUUGUCUUCCUGCUUGUCUUUAUUUAUUAUUAAAUUAUUUGUAUCUGA